Molecule: ribosomal RNA, 460 nt
Filed under: uncultured bacterium
Lineage: Bacteria
Description: partial 16S ribosomal RNA
Rfam family: Bacterial small subunit ribosomal RNA
Source: RNAcentral
CCUACGGGUGGCAGCAGUGAGGAAUAUUGGUCAAUGGACGAGAGUCUGAACCAGCCAAGUCGCGUGAAGGAUGACUGCCCUAUGGGUUGUAAACUUCUUUUAUAUGGGAGUAAAAUGUUCCACGUGUGGGAUUUUGUAUGUACCAUAUGAAUAAGGAUCGGCUAACUCCGUGCCAGCAGCCGCGGUAAUACGGAGGAUCCGAGCGUUAUCCGGAUUUAUUGGGUUUAAAGGGAGCGUAGGUGGAUUGUUAAGUCAGUUGUGAAAGUUUGGGGCUCAACCGUAAAAUUGCAGUUGAAACUGGCAGUCUUGAGUACAGUAGAGGUGGGCGGAAUGCGUGGUGUAGCGGUGAAAUGCUUAGAUAUCACGAAGAACUCCGAUUGCGAAGGCAGUUCACUGGACUGCAACUGACACUGAGGCUCGAAAGUGUGGGUAUCAAACAGGAUUAGAUACCCCUGUAGUC